UACGUAGGUGGCAAGCGUUAUCCGGAAUUAUGGGGCGUAAAGCGCGCGCAGGCGGUUUCUUAAGUCUGAUGUGAAAGCCCACGGCUCAACCGUGGAGGGUCAUUGGAAACUGGGGAACUUGAGUGCAGAAGAGAAAAGCGGAAUUCCACGUGUAGCGGUGAAAUGCGUAGAGAUGUGGAGGAACACCAGUGGCGAAGGCGGCUUUUUGGUCUGUAACUGACGCUGAGGCGCGAAAGCGUGGGGAGCAAACAGG
This 253-nucleotide ribosomal RNA is filed under the name uncultured bacterium. RNAcentral describes it as "partial 16S ribosomal RNA". It matches the Rfam family "Bacterial small subunit ribosomal RNA", at positions 524 to 776 of the family's 1533-position model. The record is from RNAcentral.